Molecule: ribosomal RNA, 492 nt
Filed under: uncultured bacterium
Lineage: Bacteria
Description: partial 16S ribosomal RNA
Rfam family: Bacterial small subunit ribosomal RNA
Source: RNAcentral
AGUGAACGCUGGCGGUAGGCCUAACACAUGCAAGUCGAACGGCAGCACAGUAAGAGCUUGCUCUUACGGGUGGCGAGUGGCGGACGGGUGAGGAAUACAUCGGAAUCUACUUUUUCGUGGGGGAUAACGUAGGGAAACUUACGCUAAUACCGCAUACGACCUACGGGUGAAAGCAGGGGAUCUUCGGACCUUGCGCGAUUGAAUGAGCCGAUGUCGGAUUAGCUAGUUGGCGGGGUAAAGGCCCACCAAGGCGACGAUCCGUAGCUGGUCUGAGAGGAUGAUCAGCCACACUGGAACUGAGACACGGUCCAGACUCCUACGGGAGGCAGCAGUGGGGAAUAUUGGACAAUGGGCGCAAGCCUGAUCCAGCCAUACCGCGUGGGUGAAGAAGGCCUUCGGGUUGUAAAGCCCUUUUGUUGGGAAAGAAAAGCAGCAGGUGAAUACCCCGCUGUUCUGGCGGUACCCAAAGAAUAAGCACCGGCUAACUUCGUG